Long non-coding RNA from Arvicola amphibius (Eurasian water vole), 566 nucleotides. RefSeq lists it as uncharacterized. The transcript is spliced from 4 exons. The record is from RefSeq and is a predicted model, not a curated record. Lineage: Eukaryota; Metazoa; Chordata; Mammalia; Rodentia; Cricetidae.
UCGCGCCCAGCCGCCGAGGCGGGCGGGCGUGCGACCCCGCCACACUGCUGAAAAAGGGGCGCGCGCGCGCGCCCGCCCUCCCGCACGGCUGCCCGGCGCCUUCCCGUCCCCGGCUCCCGACGGGCGCUUUUCCCGCCGUCCUCUCGGCACUUGGCCCGGAGGCGUCGGGGUCGGCGGGCUCAGAGGUAAGGAAGCAGAGGCAAAGAAAUCCAACAGCUCCAAGUCCUGAGGGUGGCGUGUGGAAUGUCUUCUAAUAGGUGAUGGUGACGUUAGAGCUGUUCAACACACACUCUUGGACGGCCUCACCUCUACGCGCUGAUAGUUCCACCUCCCGAAAUAUCUCCAUCCUUCACCUUGGAAUGUUUAGAUUCCCAUUUGUGAAAACUUUUACCAUCUUUUCAGUCAGAGGCUUUCUUGAAUCACAUGGCAACGUUCAUCAUAGUCUCUGCCAUACAGAACGUGCUGGAAAGUGGAGUGUAUGACAGAACCAAAAGGAGGCGGGGCUGACCUCCAAACCGUGAGUUUGCUUGACAUUUGCCAGAGGGAAAUGAAGGAAAUAAAGAAAA